This is a non-coding RNA of Oryctolagus cuniculus (rabbit), 7630 nucleotides long. The record is from RefSeq and is a predicted model, not a curated record. Lineage: Eukaryota; Metazoa; Chordata; Mammalia; Lagomorpha; Leporidae.
UAAAGAAACGGACACACUCCUGUGGGUUUUAGGGAACUUAAGACACGUGGAGGAGAAGUGCCUGGAAGGCUACUGAAAUAUUUACAAAACAAAUCAUUUACAUUCAACUUUUGUGUUUGUAAAAACCUGAAGUGCCUACAAAAAAGACUGAGCCAACUUUGGCUAUAAGGAAUAUUUCGGCAUCAAAAUGGUUAAUAGUAUUAUAGCUUCAAAAGAGCCUAUUGGCUCACCCUCAAGGAUGCCCUGCAGUUGUUGUUAAAGUCAUCAGAUGAAGCUAGCCUUCUCAGCUAGCCUUUAGAUUUGUCUGCUAACAGUAAAAAUACUAUAAUAAAUCGGUAACAUAUGUUGCCAGGCACGGAAAAGUGAUAUAAAUAGACUAGGAGACCCAAACCAAGCACAAUGUGAAAAGAAUUUAACUUUCAAUCUAUUGGCUGCCUAAUUACCAUUUGAAAAGUUAUUUGAAAGUGUUACUGUUAUUUGCUUUUAUUCUUCCUCAUUUUUCUUUUUUUCUCUUCAGAUUGCAUUAUUACCCAAAUACUCUUCGUGAUUGCCUGCUUUGCGGCUUUGGGGUAAGUCCCAGUUUUCCACAACCUUAAGAAAAAAAAAUGCAUAACAUAAAAGACGUCAAAAAGACUUAUGUGUCCUGAUGUGCGGGUUUUGUGAAAUAUACAUGGGCUUGUGGGGGGGGGUAGGGUAAUGAAAUAAAGAGAAGGAGCUUGUUUCUUCAAGGAUCCAAAGUGUGCGAAAGUGUGCAUAUGCAAGUGAGGCUGCCUUCAGGAGAGCCACCUCUGGAAUGGAAGUGACAAAGCUUAGAACACACACAAUCAAUUAUUUUCACUAGCAUUUAAAAUACAGAAAACAAAAUCUGCUUUGGGAAUUGACUGAAUAUUUUAUUUAGCUUUUUUAUUGAGACAUCCUUUGAAAAAUGGCGUAAUAUAAAUAGUUUCACAAAGCAACAAUAUAAUCAAUCUCUAAACUAGAAUAUAAAUCAAGGAUUUCAUUAACUGCUGGUAGCCAGUUUAAAUUGUAGUCUUGUCCAUAAUGUCUAUCUAUCUAUGUAUGUCCAAGUUAUAUUAAAAACCUUUAAAUGGCUUUGUAAUAUCAGCUACAUCUAGCUAUUAUAAUAAUUAAUGGUACUGUUUUAUAAAUCAAUACAUGUAUUCUUGAUAAAUUCAUAUCCAGUUAAUGGUGUAAUUUAAAUAAAAAAUUAAUGUAAUAAAGGACAUACAGAAACGGGCAGGAAAUCUUUAAAGGUUAAGAGCCAAAUUUGUUUAAAUUCAUUUUUAACCUGUUUUGGAAAAGUUUGUAUUUGAAAUCAGCUGAGAUUUACCUUGUUUCUGUAAAACUAACCUUGCCAUUUCCAGGGGCAUCUAGUGUUGAAUCUGUAAAAUAGUUUUUUUUUAAACAGUAAAUUUUUAAUUACAUGUUUAAAAUACUAUGGAAUAUUUUACUAUCAUUAUACUAUUUUGUAAUUAGUGACUAUUCUUUGAAAAGAUAGAACAAAAACAAACUGAAAACCUCACACUCGUUAUUUAUUUUUAACACAUAACUGAAAUGUAAAUGCCAUAUAUAUAUUUUAAUAUAAAUGAAGCUUCUGAAAAGCUCCAAAGCUAUAUAAAAUUUUACUUACGGAAAGAAGGGACUGAUUAGCCCAGUGAAUUUGCAUGUGUAAGAGCCCCGUGUUUUCAUUGCUUUUGCUGAGUGAGCAUCCCAGAAAUUUUAGAUAGAAAAGAAAAAAAAAUGCACGAAAGGGUCCGAAUUGUAUUUUAACGCUGUAAACGGGCAGAGAAACAUUCUACAAAAAGAACAGUGUGUUAUUGUUCUGAUUUUAAAGCCACAUACUAAAGGCAUAUUAAAGAAUAACACGGUUUAGAAAAACAACUGAAGGGUGUACAUUAUCAAACACAGCAUCAAAUCUUUCCAAAUAAGAUCUCAUUUGGUUUAUAGAGUAAGCAUCUUAGAAAACAGUAUCUUUCCGAAUCCUGCAGACCAGGCUGCCCUGCCAUCUCCCCUGACACGGUGCAGAAACACUCCUUUAAUCCACUGAGCUUUUUCUGACAUUUUUCUUAACAUUGCUGAGCCUUAUUUAGAGCGGCGGAGGAGACGUGUGCACUUUCCUUUGACACUGAUGGGUGUUUCCAAAUGUUGAGAGAGAGAGAGAGGGAGAUUGAGAGAGAUUUGCUGCCAGUCACUUCAUCAAUAGAGCUAUAGCAGCAAUUACUGUUUGUUAGGAGUUUACAUUUCAAAUGAAGCUACAUUUAAAGAAGUCUCAUCAUUUUACAAAGGCUGGUGCUUGCAAGAGAGAAGAGAAUCCACAUUAGUGAUUACAUAUUAAAGUGCACUCGAGUACUGGAACCAUUUAAAAUGUGUGGUGUUUUUAGACGAAAUCUGCAGCAAAACCACUCCUAAGAGGCUUAAUUUAGGUUUUAUAGGAGGAACAUAAAAAAGACCAGGUUACAGCAACAUGCUGAAAUAUGGGGUACAUUUUAAAUAUCUUCAUUUAAAAACGUAUGUUUAUUUUCUCUCCUGGGAUCACUAACGUGUGUCUCGACAGAGGAAGCAAGGACAUGCUACAUUCUUAAAAAUUAUCUGUUAAAGGGAUCACAUUCCAAGACAGGUUUGAGCAUUUUUAUUACUACAGAUAACCUCUUAAUUAUGUCACUGCCUUCCACUUGUUAAUCAGGGACAUUCAACACAGUUAACCAUGGAGCGGCUGCCUUUAGAAGAAUACAUGGUUAUUAAGGAUUAGAAACACAUUUUAUCCCUUUCGUCGUAUGUCUGAUUUUAGCACUGCUACAGACCUAUCUACUCGCUUUAAAUACACAACACCUAGGAAGGGGCUAGUAAUAGUGUUACUCAUUACUUCAAACUGCGCAGCCCGUGAAGAGCUGCAAGGAAUGGAUCAUGUCGUCUCUCCUGUCUCCCCCCCCACGACCCUCACGGUUCCUAUCUGAACCAAUUUUAGGUCUCUUCUGCAGCCACCAGCGUCUGAGACACUCAGAGCCUCUUUCAGAGUGCAAGGUGUAAGUGGAGUAAAUAAAAUCAUGUUUCACUGUUGCUUUAUCAACCCUUGUAGGUAGUUUUUCUGCCAGCCAACCUGCGCUGCUCAGACCCAUAAAAUUAUGCAAUAGUGACUUCUUUGGAGGUUCUUUAAUCAGAUAAUGGCUGGUGCUAGGAGAGAAAGGCCCAAGGCAGUGUUGCUGGCACUUAACACUGUGGUUGGUCAUUACUCGUCUGGUAGAGACCAAUAAACAGCUGAUGACUAUCCUAUAAGGAGCCAAUAUUUUACAUUUAUCCUUGUUAUUUUUCCCUUUUCUUUUUGACUUCUUGUAACAGCAAGUAUUUGUCAAGAAGAUCUAUGAGAAGGAGCCUCACAGGCACCUUAAAAAUAAGAAUUUUCCUGCUAUGAAAUGAUGCCUUUUGUGGCGAGGUGAGACUGGUUCUGGUUUUUACAGAGCAAAGGUUUGAUUAGCUUAACGUCCAUUUCUCUCCGGCAUGGACACUCCCAGACACCAUCCCCCACUGCUGCUCCCCUCCAAUUCCGUCCCCUCCCCCCCCCCCCCCCCCCAUGACAGGUUCACAAGCUGCAACCAAAGGGUUUUAAAAUGCAAAUAUUUAUAUUUGAGCUCUGGCAAUAACAGGGCCAUUUUCCUUCCCCUGUACGCCUGUGAUAAUUGAUGCUUCAUACCUGGAAGUACGUUUCAUUUAUCUCUUUACACAUGGAGAUAGUAUAUAAAUAAAAGGAAAUUUAUGGGAAGGAACUGGCCAUUUGAAAUAAUAAUCCUAAAUUUGACUGUAUAAUCUUUUAAAGCUGUAAGAGUCAGAAAUGCAGAUUUCUAAACUUUUAAUGCAAACUCGAUUGCAAACGGGAAAUCAGUACACUUUUAAAUGUGUAUUGAAUUUGAAUGCCUGCCUGGGUCAAAAAAAAAAAUACAAUAAGGGUAAAAGGAAAGCAGGGGAGAAAAGGUGUGAAUUUUAUAUGUACUAUAAGCUAAUGCACUCAGCCACAUGUUUAGACUUCUUGUUACAAUUCUAUUGACUUUCUCUCUCAAUAUAAUGUUUUCCUAACCAAUGUGAACAGCACAAUAGCAAGUGUUUGAGCGUGGCUGUCCUUCCCUGGGCUCCUCAUCCCAGCCUGCACAGAGGUGUGCCCUCAGAACUGGACCUUGACUCCACAACCUCAUACAAAGCCAGGCAAUCCUUGAGCCAAACAAACAAAGGGGGUGUAAGUGAUUUCAUUUAUUUUGAUAAUCCUCCUCCUGCACGGGGAGCAUUUUGCUGUCUUUGUCAAAGUGAAUGACAACAAUUUGGCCAACUCUCUCUGAGCUGCACUCAACAGUGACAGGCAAAUUAUCAGAGGCCCUGCACUUCUUAUUAUCAGAGGAGAAGCCAUCAGGGGGACGCAUGGAGGAUACCUCUCCCUUGUCACUAUUUGUCAGUGGGACAAGGGCCACUGCUAUGGGUAGCUGACAGGUAAUUUCAACAAUAACAAUUACUCCUAUUACUGGUGUCAUAAACAAUUCGCCCAAGGCAUGACAAUAGCAAAGCUUUAUAAUUCAAUGCCAUAUAAAUAAAUGCCAGCAGGUAACAAGUAAUUUAGCUCCAAUCAAGCUUUCACCCCGGCAUUAAUAUUGUUAUUGCAAGAAAAUGGAAAAUUGAAAAAAUUCAGUAUGUUAAUGAAUUAAGAAAGGUUCAGGGGCUACACAACAGGAGUUGAAAAAGGGAAACUAAGAUUACUAAGGUAUCAUACUUGAUGCCAUCCUAAGGGCCAACAGUCAUAUAAUCAAUUGAAACAAAAAGAGGAACCUGGAGCAGUGUUGCCUUAGACUCCGGACCUGGGAAAAAUGGAACAUGGCCUUUGAAAAAAAAAUCCACCUCUCUCCAAUUUCUGAGGACUCUCAGUAGAAAUGUAAGAAUGUAUAUAUCAUGGAGCAUUUCACUGGCUUUCUUUUUCCACCUGAAAUAUUUCCUAUGAAGCAGGGAGAGGCGUAAGUGAGUAUCCAAGGAAUAUUUCCAUCUGUUGAAGAAAGUCGCGUGAGCACCUGCUUCCUGUACAAUUCUUCAGGGAGCAGAGAGCAUUCGCAUGGAUGGGCAUCUCAGUUUUCCCAGCAUAUGCUGUUUGCCCUUUCCCAACAACCACGCUUGAACAUAAUUAUGCUGCCUCAAACCCGGGCUGCAGAGAGCAUCCCUGACAGCUCCAAGUUCCUGUUAACUCCUGAAAUUCUGAAUUCCACGGUGCCCAGAUCCCGACGUCGAGAUCACAGACCACGUGUCGUCUUCAGCCCCAAGAAGCCCCUUCGCCUCCUCCCCGGGCCGACCUCGCCAGGCUGUUAACUCCCUCCCGCCCCUGCCUUCCUCUGCCCCCGCCUCCACCCGGUGCAACAGGAGUGGCACGAUUAAAAAUGAGGAGAUUCUCUUGUUAUUAACAAAUUUGACAUUUGCCUGAUGAAAUGCGCAUACAAUGUGAAAGCUACGCAGUCCUGGGAAGGAAUGUCUCCCCUCCCACGCCGGCUACAGGAUGAGACCAUUUAGGUGAAGGAAGUGUAACGAUCCUCGUCUGUCUCUGCUGUGCAGUGCUGGGCUUGUGUUAUAAAUGAAGGCGCCAAACAGUGUGGCGCUUUCAGACUGAUAGCAUGUUGACACAUGUGACGUGCGCAGUGUUUCAUCUCUCACCUUAGCUGCAUAAACAGAGCACAUAUGCUCCAAUGCGGUCAUUUGCCUCGGAGUCCAGCCUCUCCCUGGUGACACCUUGGGGCUGGGGUUUUGUUCAUUUCUAGAGAAAAAUGUGGUCCACCCUCCACCCCCCAAAAACAGGUUGAUGAUUUCAGCUUUUCUACUUCUAAAGCUCAUCAAAUCAAUAUUUUACCAACACGAUGCUAAUUUAAAACACCAUCAAAUAACACUGCGGAUACAUAUUGAAAACAUAUUUUAAUGGCUUUGUUUGUUUUGGCAUCAUAUGAACCAAGGACGAUUAAAUUAAAAAGAGACUUUUAAAAGUUAGAGAUUGCCUUUUUAAAGCUUAUUAAAAUCAGCAUGUUACAUGCCUGUCUGUGAAUUAGCUCUACACACUUGAUUGCCAUCAUUAAAACUAGUUGUUUGGGUGCUGCUCAAAGCCGAUUCUGACUAGUUAUUACUUGAAAUCUCUUUCCACGGAAAUGAAAAAAAAAAAAAAAAAACGCAAAAAAUCUUUCUAAGUGGAAGGAGAAAACAGUCACCAAAAUGUGAGCUGGCACAGCGACACAGCGGCAGCAAACCCCAGGCAGACCAACAGGUAAACUCACGACAGGAACAUCGGACACAGGGAAAAACAAAACCAAACCCAACCCACGCAACAGCAACAAAGACGCAGUCCAUUGAUUGUAUUUCCUGAAUGUCUUAAAACAAAUGUUUGAACAGUUUCCUGAGACAGCGCAGAGAACCUCUGCCUGCUCGCUGGCUGCAGGGACAAUGGUCUGUUGCAAUGGAAACCACGCGGGAGGAGAAAAAGGUGCUUUUUGUUACCAUUUUAUCAAAGCUGUUCAUCCUCGAGCUGCAGGCCGCAUUUUGCUGGAAUUGCAGAUAUUUCUCUGUCCAGGCUCCUUUGUUUGUGCAUCUCAUUUGCAUAUAUUUAUCUCCAGCUGAGGGUGCUUUCUGCUCAUUAAGGCCUCCCUUCAGAUUAUUUCAUAAGCCAGCUGCUAAGAGGGAUUUCACCUGUGGUGACUGAGAAAAGAGGGGCGAAAAACUAAAUUCUUCAUAAAAAGGGAAUCUUCGGAGUCUCUUCCCCUAUAAAUGGGCACCAUUUGUGUUAAACAGCCUCUUGUCAUGAUAGAUGCCUCCAGAGGUCAGGGGUUAAAGUUGAUUUGAAGGUCAGCAGUAAAACAACAGACAAACCAGACGCCAAACUGGUUCCUUAGCUGUCGGUGGGAGCUGUGGUACAACCAGGUCUUGAACCUUUUUCAACCUCUAAUAAAACAGGGGAUGAAUCUGAAGUGGAUCAACCAGGCCCCUGAGGAAGCAGCACAGCAAAACAGAAAUAAUAUCAAUAUCAGGCAGCCACAGGAAACAAUGGGGCAUUUCUCCGUGCUGCAUGCAUGCUGCUAUUGUUUCCCGAGCCGGGGAAUUAAUUCCACUUAUUUAUUUAAGGCGUGUCAACUCACUGCCUAAACCUGUUUCAGUGUCAAGAUGAAUAAAACUUUUAUGGCUCAUAAAAUAGAGCCAUUCAUCUCAAUGUUCUUUGUGGUGCGUUUUUUUUUUUUUUUUCCUGGCAUACUGAGCUAGGCCUCUGCUCCGAAAUGGUUACAUCUGAACCCACUGUUGCUAUGAUCCACAUCAUAUUAGAGAAAAAAAUUAUUUCACUGGCAAAUGGAUCUCAACAGAAAAGACCCAGGGAAGCGUUUUAGCUGCGAUGUAGUAGUCCCCAAAAUCCUUCUAAAUAUGCCUCAUGCCGUGGCAUCUGUUUGGGGCAUAUAUUAUUUACAAAGCAGAAGUUUCACUAGUUUAGAGAAAAGUUCAAAAAUGAUAGCAAUCCAACAAUUAGUUUCCUAGACUAUUAUGUAUUUCCUUUUACUUUAGAAAUGCAGCCCUGUUAGCAUAGCUUUUCCCCAUCAUCAUUUUUUUGCCCAAGUUGUCACCGUUAUGCAGUCAGCUUGCA